RNAcentral lists this small nucleolar RNA (141 nucleotides) under Colobus angolensis palliatus. RNAcentral describes it as "U8 small nucleolar RNA (ENSCANG00000004494.1)". It matches the Rfam family "U8 small nucleolar RNA". From Rfam's summary of the family: U8 is a member of the C/D class of snoRNA which contain the C (UGAUGA) and D (CUGA) box motifs. U8 is the RNA component of a small complex (the U8 snoRNP) which is required for accumulation of mature large subunit ribosomal RNAs, 5.8S and 28S rRNAs. The record is from Rfam by way of RNAcentral. Lineage: Eukaryota; Metazoa; Chordata; Mammalia; Primates; Cercopithecidae.
UCGUCAGGUGGGAUCAUCCUUACCUGUUUCUCCUUUUGGAGGUCAGAUUCGAACAUGACGAUUGCAGAAGAAUGAAACGUGAUUAAUAACUCUGUGUAAUCAGGCCUUGCAGCACAAUCUUCCUGAUAAUCUCUAUUUUAA